This 618-nucleotide ribosomal RNA is filed under the name Triticum aestivum (bread wheat). RNAcentral describes it as "partial small subunit ribosomal RNA". Lineage: Eukaryota; Viridiplantae; Streptophyta; Magnoliopsida; Poales; Poaceae. The record is from RNAcentral.
AGAUUCAAGCUAAGUGACGUCAAGCCGGCUUCCACCCCAAUGCCCACCAAGUGCCAACUUGACCUAGAUCCCAAUGGUAAAGUGGUGGAUCAAAAGGUAUAUCGUUCCAUGAUUGGAUCCUUGCUUUACCUUUGUGCAUCUAGACCAGACAUCAUGUUGAGUGUGGGAAUUUGUGCACGGUUUCAAGCCGCACCUAAGGAAAGUCACCAUGUGGCGGUCAAACGAAUCUUUCGAUAUUUGGCUCAUACCCCAAACUUUGGCUUAUGGUACCCAAGAGGAUCAAACUUCAAGCUUGUAGGGUAUUCGGAUUCCGAUUGGGCGGGAGACAAAGUGGAUAGGAAGUCCACUUCCGGAGGGUGCCAAUUCCUUGGUUGCUCUUUGGUAAGUUGGUGUUCCAAAAAGCAAAGUUGUGUGUCUCUCUCGUCCACCGAAGCGGAGUAUGUUGCGGCCGGUAGUUGUUGUGCACAACUCUUAUGGAUGAGGCAAACUUUAAAGGAUUACGGUGUCACUUGUGACAAAGUGCCUCUUUGGUGUGACAAUGAAAGUGCCAUCAAGAUUUCUCUCAACCCGGUGCAACACUUCAAGACGAAGCAUAUUGAGAUUCGGUAUCACUUCAUC